AACAGGUGGCUAAGACUGCUCCCUGCGCGAUGGAGGUGUAUGGAACUGUGGCAGAUCCUGAAAAGUACCAAAGUGAGAUGGCCAGGCUGCCCACUGCUAUGUCCCAUUCAGCUGCACUGCGCACACCCAGUUCCAGGCAACAGCGGAUUUAGUUUGUUAAUCGCUGCACGGGAUUUUUUUGGGAGGAGGAGGAUUUUUCGUGAGAUCGCGGCUGGGGAGAGAAACCUUAAACCUCCCAUCCCUGAGAGUGGCAAUGCUGGGCAUUGCAUUUUAAGAAGAAUGCAGACCAACUGGAAUGAGUUCAGAGGAAAGCCACAAGGAUGGUCAGUAACAUGGAAAAUAAGUCCUAGGAAGAAAGGUUGACAGAACUGGGUAUGAUUAGCCUGGAGAGGUAAAGACUGGGGACUAAAGUACAUACUAUUUCAAUU
This is a long non-coding RNA of Rhineura floridana, 428 nucleotides long. RefSeq lists it as uncharacterized. The transcript is spliced from 4 exons. The record is from RefSeq and is a predicted model, not a curated record. NCBI's taxonomy places the organism in Eukaryota, Metazoa, Chordata, Lepidosauria, Squamata, Rhineuridae.